RNAcentral lists this ribosomal RNA (460 nucleotides) under uncultured bacterium. RNAcentral describes it as "SSU rRNA". It matches the Rfam family "Bacterial small subunit ribosomal RNA", at positions 26 to 518 of the family's 1533-position model. The record is from RNAcentral.
AGAAUCAACGCUGGCGGCGUGCCUAACACAUGCAAGUCGCACGAGAAAGGGUAGCAAUACCUGAGUAAAGUGGCGCACGGGUGAGUAACACGUGAAUUAUCUACCUCCGAGUGGGGAAUAACUGAGAGAAAUCUUAGCUAAUACCGCAUAACACUUACGAGUCAAAGCAGCAAUGCGCUUGGAGAGGAGUUCGCGGCCGAUUAGUUAGUUGGCGGGGUAAUGGCCCACCAAGACGAUGAUCGGUAUCCGGCCUGAGAGGGCGCACGGACACACUGGAACUGAAACACGAUCCAGACUCCUACGGGAGGCAGCAGUGGGGAAUUUUGCGCAAUGGGGGAAACCCUGACGCAGCAACGCCGCGUGGAGGAUGAAAUAUCUUGGUAUGUAAACUCCUUUCGAUGGGGAAGAUUAUGACGGUACCCAUAGAAGAAGCCCCGGCUAACUUCGCGCCAGCAGCCGC